Molecule: ribosomal RNA, 219 nt
Filed under: uncultured bacterium
Lineage: Bacteria
Description: partial 16S ribosomal RNA
Rfam family: Bacterial small subunit ribosomal RNA
Source: RNAcentral
UACGGAGGGGGCUAGCGUUGUUCGGAAUUACUGGGCGUAAAGCGCGCGCAGGCGGCCUCGCGCGCCGACGUGAAAGCCCCCCGGCUUAACCGGGGAGGGUCGUUGGGGACGGCGGGGCUUGAGGGCGGGAGAGGGUGGUGGAAUUCCCGGUGUAGUGGUGAAAUGCGUAGAGAUCGGGAGGAACACCCGUGGCGAAGGCGGCCACCUGGGCCGACCCUG